Molecule: ribosomal RNA, 318 nt
Filed under: Klebsiella michiganensis
Lineage: Bacteria; Pseudomonadati; Pseudomonadota; Gammaproteobacteria; Enterobacterales; Enterobacteriaceae
Description: partial 23S ribosomal RNA
Rfam family: Bacterial large subunit ribosomal RNA
Source: RNAcentral
GGUUAAUAUUCCUGUACUCGGUGUUACUGCGAAGGGGGGACGGAGAAGGCUAUGUUGGCCGGGCGACGGUUGUCCCGGUUUAAGCAUGUAGGCGGAUGUUCCAGGUAAAUCCGGAACGUCACUAACGCUGAGGUGUGAUGACGAGGCACUACGGUGCUGAAGUGACAAAUGCCCUGCUUCCAGGAAAAGCCUCUAAGCAUCAGGUAACAUCAAAUCGUACCCCAAACCGACACAGGUGGUCAGGUAGAGAAUACCAAGGCGCUUGAGAGAACUCGGGUGAAGGAACUAGGCAAAAUGGUGCCGUAACUUCGGGAGAAG